AAUAGGUAAAUAUUGGACUAUGAAACGUAGCUGUCAAUGACAAUUAUUUGCCCAUGUAUUCGGCCUUCCCUUCCAUUGAUUAAACUAUUUUUUUCAAUCACAGUCUAAUUAAAACCCAUUCCAUCGUGAUUUAUGUGAUUAUUCGGCGUCCAGCCUCCGCACAAAAUUUGAUGGAUCCUUGGGGCACUGAAGUGGAAAAAUCAACAGUUGUGUCUGCAUUUGAAGAUAAUUUCGAGCCCGCUCCUGAAUUCGAGAAGUUGUCCGACUCCGAGGAAUAUUUGGCCGUUUUGGGUAAUAUGUGAUGGCCGGGAACCGCAAGAGCCUGUUCAUAUUCCUGAUGGGGUUGGCCUGGAAGUGUCGGUUCAGCAUGCCGCUGAUCCUGAGCGGCACGGUGGCCGUGCUCGGGCGCGCGUUCAUGUUCCAGAUACGUGUGCACACCGUCCACACGCUGCAUGAGAACGAGCUAGCAUACUACGAGGAGGAAGAUGACGAGCAAGGCGAUGCUGAGUCCUGGGAGACAGGCUCCACCGACUCCUGGGAGACUAUAGUAGAGGAGGUUGCUUACGGUUGAUACAGUGACCAGUAAAUGCUAAGCCAAAAUAUGAUCUAUUCGUUCGUAUAUUAGAUGGUUGUCUGGUUACUUGAUAAAUUGUUUCGUAAAAUUUUAGGUGUUUACUUAAAUUUAUGAUAUCCAUAGGGACGUAUAGAGGCCAAAUUGUCUUUGGAAUUCGGUUUUUUUUAAUUUGCAAUAUUAAAAAAAAAGAACUAACUUAAAAAAAUACCUUCAGCAUUUUGGCUCCACAUAGGGUUAUUAUAUGCGUUUGCAUUCCUAUAAUGUUAUUAGUUUAUCUAUGUGGUAUAGGGUAUUGAUAUCCAGUAUUUGGAUACAAGCGUAAAUUAUCGAUGGAUAAUUUAAUCGUACCCAAUAAAUAAACUUGUACAGUCAAAAUAAGAUCCGAAAUGGAAAUAUUUAUUAUUUAAUAUAAAAUUAUUAUAUUGUGUAAUAAUUCGGCGUAUUCGCCUACACCCUACAUUGUGUUAGUUGACCUUUAGGAAUGAAUUCCCCACCAGAUUAGUGGUGGGAGAUGUUGCAUGUUAGGGGUUAGUUUACAUUUUGCUGAAAUCCAGUGAAUACGACCAUUAGAGGCAAAUAUAUAUACUAAUAUAUAACCAGCUGGUUCGCAGUGGUUUUCAUCUCAGAAUAUGUUUAUCGUAUUUUUAAACACGAAGCAAAUUGACACAUAACUUGUUAUAGUAUAACACCAAGUACCAAUUAACCUUAGUAGAGGGAGAAGGGGGUUCGAAUUGGGCAGCUGCCCAGAGUUUCGUGCUUACAGGGCCCUUGCGCGGAGCCUUGGAGGAUCUUUUUUUAUUAUCUCACCUACGAAACUGUUAAAAUCGGGAAUUUAUUUUGCUCUGCUCGGAGCCUCGCGUUGAUAUUUCUUCUUUCUUUCGCCGC
This 1459-nucleotide unclassified non-coding RNA is filed under the name Manduca sexta (tobacco hornworm). RNAcentral describes it as "sepiapterin reductase, transcript variant X1". Lineage: Eukaryota; Metazoa; Arthropoda; Insecta; Lepidoptera; Sphingidae. The record is from RNAcentral.